GCCCAGGGUUCCAUGGUCCCUACCUAGACCCCACGCGAUUCCUCACCUGAGACCCCGUCCCACACAGCCCUGGCUGGGGCAAACAGCCCCCUCCCCACUUCCUAUCUAAUUUGCAGGGAGAUCGACGACGUGAUCAGCGCAGACCUGCAGUCUCUCCAGGUGGGGACUGUUCCUGGAGGGGCGGGAUGGGGUGGGGGUCUUGGCCAGCGCUAAACUUUCGCCAUGCGGCAGGGCCCCUACCUGCCCCUGGAGCUGGGGUUGGAGCAGCUGUUUCAGGAGCUGGCUGGAGAGGAGGAAGAACUCAAUGCCUCUCAGCUCCAGGCCUUACUAAGCAUUGCCCUGGAGCCUGGUGAGUUGGCUGGGAUAGGGGCAGGAGGAGGGGUCUUAGCCAGGGGUCCUGCAACCAGAGCCGGUGCCACCCUAUGUCUAUGAACCCACCACGCUGCUGGGAGUUGGGCUCAGGAAGCCAGGGCUCAGCCUGGCAGCAUCUCCCUGCAGGGGAUCUUGUGUGGGCCCCGUGACCUGGGCCACGGCUGCUCGCAAGCUCCCCUUCCGCUGAAAGGCAAGGCUGCCUUGAGCACAGACUGGGAACCCCC
This 596-nucleotide small RNA is filed under the name Pan troglodytes (chimpanzee). Its description in RNAcentral is "retained intron". Lineage: Eukaryota; Metazoa; Chordata; Mammalia; Primates; Hominidae. The record is from RNAcentral.